ACCUGCAGACCCGUUCUGGAUGCCCAGGAGUCCUGUGAACCCGCAGCUGUCAUCACCACACUCUGCUCACUGAUUCCUUUCAUCUGAAGCUUUACCUUGAACUCAUACAUGAUUGGCCUCCAAUAUUCCACUUCAGUGGUGGUGCCAAUGAUCAUGAUCUACUUAAAAUGUUGGAUACUCAUACUAUACAGAGAGAGAGAUGAAGAUCCAAGGUGUGGGUACACAGUGACAAACAUUGAAGAAAAAAAGAAAGCUGUUUGGGUUUUUUUUUUAAGACGCAAGGAAUUUUUUGACAAUAAAUUUACACCCAUCGGCACAUCUAUUUUAACGUUCUGGAGCAACUGUGUGACAAUUUUCACACUUCUCUGUACGAAUGCUCUCUGGUGACAC
Molecule: non-coding RNA, 390 nt
Organism: Kogia breviceps (pygmy sperm whale)
Lineage: Eukaryota; Metazoa; Chordata; Mammalia; Artiodactyla; Physeteridae
Source: RefSeq, a predicted model, not a curated record